GCAAGCGUGUGUAAUGCACGCAAAACAGGAAGAUGGCUUGCAGGGUUAUUUCUCUUCCCGAAUGUAAGCCAAACUGAUUUCUCAUCAGUAAAGAGUUAAAAUAACACCCUUUGGUGUUUCCUGCACCGGUUUUCAUUGCAGCAUGUGAGUUUCGCAACCGCGAAAAUCUGGUUGCGAUAAUACAUAAGAAGAGAAAGACUUAAGAGUGAUGUGUACACAGUGACCUCAUGAACAGAAAAUAGACUGCCUGAACUUUAAAACAAGAUCAUUAACUACAGCCCAGAAAGCAGGGAUGAAGCACUACAGUCCGGAAUCUGGAACUCACCACUGAAUGAGCCCAUCUUGUCACAUACUUGAUGCGCAAGUAUUGCAGCUUUAAGAAUACAAGUUGUCUGGAGAGGUAGUCAUGUGACCAGCUUCAGUUUUCAGUAAAAGCUUGAAAUGAAA
This is a long non-coding RNA of Protopterus annectens (West African lungfish), 447 nucleotides long. RefSeq lists it as uncharacterized. Lineage: Eukaryota; Metazoa; Chordata; Ceratodontiformes; Protopteridae. The record is from RefSeq and is a predicted model, not a curated record. The transcript is spliced from 2 exons.